RNAcentral lists this ribosomal RNA (497 nucleotides) under uncultured bacterium. RNAcentral describes it as "partial 16S ribosomal RNA". It matches the Rfam family "Bacterial small subunit ribosomal RNA", at positions 28 to 507 of the family's 1533-position model. The record is from RNAcentral.
GAUGAACGCUGGCGGCGUGCCUAAUACAUGCAAGUCGAGCGAACAGACGAGGAGCUUGCUCCUCUGACGUUAGCGGCGGACGGGUGAGUAACACGUGGAUAACCUACCUAUAAGACUGGGAUAACUUCGGGAAACCGGAGCUAAUACCGGAUAACAUGUUGAACCGCAUGGUUCAACAGUGAAAGACGGUCUUGCUGUCACUUAUCGAUGGAUCCGCGCCGCAUGAGCUAGUUGGUAGGGUAACGGCUUACCAAGGCAACGAUGCGUAGCCGACCUGACAGGGUGGUAGGCCACACUGGAAGGGAAACGCCGUCCAGAGGACUGCGGGACGCAGCAGAAGGCAAUGUGCCGCAGUGGGCGGAAACCUGACGGAACGACGCCGCGUGAGUGGAAGAAAUCUUCGGAGCGUAAAACUCGGUUAUUAGGGAAAAACAAAUGUGUAAGUAACUAUGCACGUCUUGACGGUACUUAGUCAGAAAGCCACGGCUAACUACGUG